RNAcentral lists this ribosomal RNA (301 nucleotides) under uncultured bacterium. RNAcentral describes it as "partial 16S ribosomal RNA". It matches the Rfam family "Bacterial small subunit ribosomal RNA", at positions 509 to 807 of the family's 1533-position model. The record is from RNAcentral.
CAGCCGCCGCGGGAAUACAGAGGGUGCAAGCGUUAAUCGGAUUUACUGGGCGUAAAGGGCGCGUAGGUGGUUAUUUAAGUGAGAUGUGAAAUCCCCGGGCUUAACCUGGGAACUGCAUCUUAUACUGGGUAACUGGAGUGCAGUAGAGGGUAGUGGAAUUUCCGGUGUAGCGGUGAAAUGCGUAGAUAUCGGAAGGAACACCAGUGGCGAAGGCGGCUACCUGGACUGAGACUGACACUGAGGCGCGAGAGCGUGGGGAGCAAACAGGAUUAGAUACCCCAGUAGUCCCUGUCUCUUAUAC